This 1386-nucleotide long non-coding RNA is filed under the name Zea mays. Its description in RNAcentral is "uncharacterized LOC100274842, transcript variant 2 (LOC100274842)". Lineage: Eukaryota; Viridiplantae; Streptophyta; Magnoliopsida; Poales; Poaceae. The record is from RNAcentral.
GAAGCACGACAGCCAGUCCAGCCACCAUUUGGGUGCUCAUCUCCCUCUGCUCGGCACCUAGCCCCAGCUCGCCCGAGCUCCCUGCGCCGACCUCAUCUUCCCCAUGGCGCGUCACCUUCUAGUCCUCUCCUUCCCACGGCACAGCAGCGCCCCUGCAGCUCCCCUUCUCCAGAUCCAUGGCACCCAACACCUUGAGCGCCCCUGCCGCUGCUCCUCCACCGGGAUCUCCUCCUCCACUAGGCGUCCAGGCUUGUCCCACCGUGGCUGCCCCUCCUCCAUCUCCUCCCUCCCCACCAGGUUACCCAGAUUCCAUGGCCGCCGCCGCCCCAGCCAUCUCCCUGGUGGCCGACCUCGCCCCUGCCCCAGCCACAGCUCCCCCUUCGGCCCUGCUGCUGCAAGCACUCAGCCUCUCCCAUGGCACACGGUACUCGUCCAGCCCCUUUCUACUGGUGGCUGAGCCAUCUCUCUGGUGCUCGAUGAAAUGACCAUGAGGAGUUUUGUGUUGUGUGCAGCCCCAUCUGCAACACCGUCGACCCCCGACGAGGUCCUUUCUCGCCUUGUCGUUUUAGUACUCGGCGUCGAUUAAGUAGAUGCUAACCGUGUGUAUAUUCGUGUGUUCUUGUGAGGAGAAAUCCCAUGAUUUGGGGGAAGACGAAGUCCAAGCACAACCCCCGCCAAUCGCUCGAUGAAAAAUCUAAACCAAAACCCUCAGCGUUUUCAAGGGUUCCGGAGGGAUUUUAUGUUGGUAAGGCUUUGAUGAUUGCUGUACAAGGAUGAUAUGGCCUCCCGCCCAAAGCUGUCUGGUAUUCAGAAGCAGGUUUUGGCGCUGUAUAGGGGAUUCCUUCGGACAGCACGCCUUAAGGCCCCUGAAGAACGCCGCAGGAUCGAGUCUGUUAUCUUGGCAGAGUUCCGUGACAACGCAAGGAGUGUUGACCUUAGGAACUUUGUACACAUAGAGUACUUGUUGAGGAGAGGGAAGAAGCAUCUUGAGCAGCUCAAGAAUCCUGAUAUUACUGGACUCGCUACCCUUGUAGUAAAGAAAUGAGCAAGAGAAGAAGGAAGACUAGUCAGACAAAAUAGAAGACGAGAAGAACUGAUGUAGCCAUGUUCAUGCUUCCAUGUAAUAGUUCAUUAUUCCAUACAUAUUUCUGUCUAUCCAGAAUCUACUAUUGAAAUACAUAUCUAGCAUAGCUUGCUCAGCUCCUAUAUGUUGUUUCAACGUUGAUUUAAAAGAAGAGCUGGUAGUUGUGGGCUUUUGAACAAUAGCUGGAGUGAUAUGAAAUAUUAGUGAUGUAGUUGUGGGCUUUUAAACUGCUUCAAGCUGGAGUGAUGUCGCUGUGGUGCUUUUGUGACUGAUCAUCUCUAGAGCUUUUGUGAAUGAUCUAG